CUGCAAGUCGGCCUCUCUCUCCGGCAGAAUCGGCUGUAGUGUGUGGUUUGAAUUUCGUCAGCAUUAUGGCCGUCAUUAUAACGUUGUGUUGUUUUUGGCAGCCAGACCGCACGCAUCCGUCAUAAAAUGACAUGCAUUUAUUGGUAUUUUGAUGGUGUCAUGAAGCUGGCUUUUCUUCUGAAUACUGGUCGGCCAGAGGAUGCUACUGAACUUUGUACUGCGUUGAGGGCAUGUCACAUCAAGUGGUGUCUGGGCUAGGUUCUCAUGUGACCUGAGCCUACCACAGGACUCCUCCCACUCACUGCCCUCAGGUUUGUUGAGGAUUUCAGUGAAGAGAAGAUGAAGUCUCUGAGACUGAUUCACCCAGAGUGGUGACUUCAUCAGGCUGCAUGUCCAUGACCAGACUGGUUGAUGGUUGCAGGGAGAUGGCCUCACCGUUAGCACUGCAGAUUCUUGCCUGCUCCCUAAACAUCAGGUGUCCAGUGUCGUACUUUUCCUUACAUUCUAUUCAACACGAAAGGACUUCACUUAAUUGACAUCAGCUGUAUGGUUUCUCCAGUGUGAAUCAUCUGAUAAAAAGAUUUUCCAUCGAGUGGUUCCUUUUUAAUUUGCUGUUGUAACUUUUACCACUUAUAGUUCUCAUCCCCAAUGCCACUCAUUUAAGCUGGUUCCAUUAAACAUGGCCAUUACUUAAAUUAUAUCCAGAGGUCCCCAGGUCUCAAUUCCAAUUGAGCUCAUUUAGAUUGUGGAGGAACGGGAGGUCUGCAACAAAUGUGUAAAUCUUCAAGAAACUGUGAUUCAUUGUGUUAGCUUGGGCUAAAAUCUAUACACGUUUCCACCUUGUUACUCCUGUUCAUUCAGGUCUAAACUGGUGGAUUUUUAUGCAGGCAUGUUCAGAUUUUUACUUAAUUCCAUUUCGAUUUGUCCAAUUUCCCACUAACCUUCCCUGACAGUGCAGCUGGUGGCAGCAGUAAGGCCUCUCUCCUGUGUGAACUCUCUGAUUUAUGGUUAUGCUUUUAGUUCUGGUAUCAUGCACAGCCUUAAUGUGUCACGGUUGUAUUCUCAUCACCUCUCCCUGGCAACAGGGACCUAAUGGUUCUACUUCACUUGUGAUUUUGAAAGUUCAAUAAAGUUGAGUCAAUUUUCUCA
This is a long non-coding RNA of Esox lucius (northern pike), 1149 nucleotides long. RefSeq lists it as uncharacterized. The record is from RefSeq and is a predicted model, not a curated record. NCBI's taxonomy places the organism in Eukaryota, Metazoa, Chordata, Actinopteri, Esociformes, Esocidae. The transcript has 5 exons.